UACGUAGGGUGCAAGCGUUGUCCGGAAUUAUUGGGCGUAAAGAGCUCGUAGGCGGUCUGUUGCGUCAGGAGUGAAAACUCGGGGCUUAACCCCGAGCCUGCUUCUGAUACGGGCAGACUAGAGGUAUGCAGGGGAGAACGGAAUUCCUGGCGUAGCGGUGAAAUGCGCAGACAUCAGGAGGAACACCGGUGGCGAAGGCGGUUCUCUGGGCAUUACCUGACGCUGAGGAGCGAAAGUGUGGGGAGCGAACAGG
This 253-nucleotide ribosomal RNA is filed under the name uncultured bacterium. RNAcentral describes it as "partial 16S ribosomal RNA". It matches the Rfam family "Bacterial small subunit ribosomal RNA", at positions 524 to 776 of the family's 1533-position model. The record is from RNAcentral.